RNAcentral lists this ribosomal RNA (497 nucleotides) under uncultured bacterium. Its description in RNAcentral is "partial 16S ribosomal RNA". It matches the Rfam family "Bacterial small subunit ribosomal RNA", at positions 28 to 507 of the family's 1533-position model. The record is from RNAcentral.
GAUGAACGCUGGCGGCGUGCCUAAUACAUGCAAGUCGAGCGAACGGACGAGAAGCUUGCUUCUCUGAUGUUAGCGGCGGACGGGUGAGUAACACGUGGAUAACCUACCUAUAAGACUGGUAUAACUUCGGAAAACCGGAGCUAAUACCGGAUAAUAUUUUGAACCGCAUGGUUCAAAAGUAAAAGACGGUCUUGCGGUCACUUAUAGAUGGAUCCGCGCUGCAUUAGCUGGUUGGUAAGGUAACGGCUUACCAAGGCAACGAUGCAUAGCCGACCUGAAAGGGUGAUCGGCCACACUGGAACUGAGACACGGUCCAGACUACUACGGGAGGCAGCAGUAGGGAAUCUUCCGCAAUGGGCGAAAGCCUGACGGAGCAACGCCGAGUGAGUGAUGAAGGUCUUCGGAUCGUAAAACUCUGUUAUUAGGGAAGAACAUAUGUGUAAGUAACUGUGCACAUCUUGACGGUACCUAAUCAGAAAGCCACGGCUAACUACGUG